GAUCAUGGCUCAGGAUGAACGCUAGCUACAGGCUUAACACAUGCAAGUCGAGGGCAGCAUGAACUUAGCUUGCUAAGUUUGAUGGCGACCGGCGCACGGGUGAGUAACACGUAUCCAACCUUCCGUUUACUCAGGGAUAGCCUUUCGAAAGAAAGAUUAAUACCUGAUAGUAUGGUGAGAUUGCAUGAUAGCACCAUUAAAGAUUUAUUGGUAAACGAUGGGGAUGCGUUCCAUUAGGUAGUAGGCGGGGUAACGGCCCACCUAGCCGACGAUCAGUAGGGGUUCUGAGAGGAAGGUCCCCCACAUUGGAACUGAGACACGGUCCAAACUCCUACGGGAGGCAGCAGUGAGGAAUAUUGGUCAAUGGACGAGAGUCUGAACCAGCCAAGUAGCGUGCAGGAUGACGGCCCUAUGGGUUGUAAACUGCUUUUAUAAGGGAAUAAAGUGGGAGUCGUGACUCUUUUUGCAUGUACCUUAUGAAUAAGGACCGGCUAAUUCCGUG
Molecule: ribosomal RNA, 502 nt
Filed under: uncultured bacterium
Lineage: Bacteria
Description: bacterial SSU rRNA
Rfam family: Bacterial small subunit ribosomal RNA
Source: RNAcentral